Molecule: ribosomal RNA, 118 nt
Filed under: Chrysemys picta bellii (western painted turtle)
Lineage: Eukaryota; Metazoa; Chordata; Testudines; Emydidae
Source: RNAcentral
AUCUUCAGUGAUUCAGCUUUGGGUUGCAAACUUGACAGCUGUUAUAAACUAAGCAGGGUUAGGCCUCGCUAAUGCUUGACUGGGAGACCACCUGGGACAACCCAAGAUGCUGAAGGAA